AUGAUUGACAUGCAACACAGUUGGGUCACUCCAAGUUGUAUUGCUCAAAAUGUAUUUUUACUUUUCUGGCUCCUGUCUCAUAAUUGUGUUUAUCUUUUUAAGGUUUCAGUGUGGAAUAACGUAUACAAAGACAUUUCUAGAAUGCUUGAAGAAAAUGAAAAAUACAGACUUAGGCUUAAAUGUCAAAGAUCAUCUAAUGAAAAUGCAAAUUGUACAAAAUGAAGUUUUCUGUCAUCUUCUGGAUUAACCUAUCCUUGGGUCUAUUUCCCAGUGAAGAUUAUGAAAAGUUGGAAGAUGGAACAUUAAAUGGAAUGAUAUUUAUUCAUUAUUUUGGUGUGUUUUGUUGGAAUUAGGACUUUAUAAAUUGGAUGAAAAAAUGACUUUAUAAAUUAAUGGUAUUUCUUUGCAAGUCAAUGAAAAUUUUAGUUCAAAGUUGUUAUAUGCAUGCAAGUGUUAUUUUCAGAAUUAAUACUUAUUUUGGAUACUUCAAACAAUCGUAUACAUAAAAUUUAAAUUAACAUGUCAGUACAAUUGCAUGUAUUUAUAAUUGGAAACUUUUCCUUUUCAUUAGUGAGUCUGCUAUUGCUACUUUAUACAUCCCAUCUUUUAUAUGUAACUGCUUUAAAUUAAACUUGCAUUCAUU
This 643-nucleotide long non-coding RNA is filed under the name Chinchilla lanigera (long-tailed chinchilla). RNAcentral's name for it is "lncRNA (ENSCLAG00000023307.1)". The record is from RNAcentral. Lineage: Eukaryota; Metazoa; Chordata; Mammalia; Rodentia; Chinchillidae.